UACGAAGGGGGCUAGCGUUGCUCGGAAUUACUGGGCGUAAAGCGCGCGUAGGCGGCUUGUUAAGUCAGGGGUGAAAUCCUGGAGCUCAACUCCAGAACUGCCUUUGAUACUGGCGAGCUUGAGUUCGGGAGAGGUGAGUGGAACUGCGAGUGUAGAGGUGAAAUUCGUAGAUAUUCGCAAGAACACCAGUGGCGAAGGCGGCUCACUGGCCCGAUACUGACGCUGAGGUGCGAAAGCGUGGGGAGCAAACAGG
RNAcentral lists this ribosomal RNA (253 nucleotides) under uncultured bacterium. RNAcentral's name for it is "partial 16S ribosomal RNA". It matches the Rfam family "Bacterial small subunit ribosomal RNA", at positions 524 to 776 of the family's 1533-position model. The record is from RNAcentral.